ACUCAUAAUAAUACCUGCCUUCAAUUAUAUCUGACCAUGAAACUGGAUAAUAUGCAAAAUUCAUAUUUCUUCCACAAAUAAUCACUGAAAAGAGGAAACAAGGCUGAUUGUGCUCUCCAAACUGGUAAAUAUUGUUCCAGGAUGUUUUCUUAUUUUUAGUUUUUGAAGUGCAUCACUGAUCAUAAAUGCAACAUCCUGUAUAAAAGGAGGCAAAUUCAGUAGCAUCUCUGCUGGCAAUGCCCUCUCUUAUAGGAUAUCAAUCUGGAAACACAUUCCCAAAUUGGAAAUCUGCAGACAAGUUAAUAUGGAAUUUUAUGGAAUAUAGAUGGAUUCAAUGUCCAAGGACUAGGAAAGCCAUUAACUAUUUGCAUUAUUUUUUAGAAAGUUUGAUCUGCUUAAUAAAUUUAAGAAUCCACAGGUUUGAAAUUUGCUACCUGAGCUGUCUUUGUUUUCUUAAUGAAUGCAAAGGGCCUCAGAUAAAUAUAGGGACAGAAUGAAAUGACUGAAUCACCCAGAUCACAAAUAUAUAUAUUUUAUAGGAUCUCUGCACACUAAAUUUUUACUGAACUCUGUUAUUACUAACUCAGGUAAGCUUGGAAUGGGACAAACUCAUGAUAUGAGGACUAAGAUGGAAUUUUAAUUUUAUUAAAUUGAUGUAAACUAGAAUCAUUUAAAAAUAAAUAAGCAAAUCAUCUCCA
This 698-nucleotide long non-coding RNA is filed under the name Vulpes vulpes (red fox). RNAcentral describes it as "lncRNA (ENSVVUG00000029338.1)". The record is from RNAcentral. Lineage: Eukaryota; Metazoa; Chordata; Mammalia; Carnivora; Canidae.